Molecule: ribosomal RNA, 893 nt
Filed under: uncultured bacterium
Lineage: Bacteria
Description: bacterial SSU rRNA
Rfam family: Bacterial small subunit ribosomal RNA
Source: RNAcentral
GUGCCAGCAGCCGCGGUAAUACAGAGGUCGCGAGCGUUGUUCGGAUUUACUGGGCGUAAAGGGCGCGUAGGCGGCGAAGCGUGUCGGAUGUGAAAUCUCCGGGCUCAACCCGGAAAGUGCGUCCGAAACUGUUUUGCUUGAGUACGGGAGGGGGAAUCGGAAUGCAGGGUGUAGCGGUGAAAUGCGUUGAUAUCCUGCAGAACACCGGAGGCGAAGGCGGAUUCCUGGAACGUUACUGACGCUGAGGCGCGAAAGUCGGGGGAGCAAACAGGAUUAGAUACCCUGGUAGUCCCGACCUUAAACGGUGCACACUCGGGGUGGCGGGAUUUCAACCCUGCCGUCCCUUAGCUAACGCGUUAAGUGUGCCGCCUGGGGAGUACGACCGCAAGGUUAAAACUCAAAGAAAUUGACGGGGGCCCGCACAAGCAGAGGAGCAUGUGGCUUAAUUCGAUGCAACGCGAAGAACCUUACCUGGGUUUGACAUGCAGCUGCAAGGCCUAUGAAAGUAGGCUGCCUUCGAGGGUGCUGCACAGGUGCUGCAUGGCUGUCGUCAGUUCGUGCCGUGAGGUGUUUGGUUAAGUCCACCAACGAACGCAACCCCUUUGAACAGUUGCCAGCGGGUGAAGCCGGGAACUCUGUUCAGACUGCUCGUUUACGCGAGAGGAAGGUGGGGAUGACGUCAAGUCAGUAUGGCCCUUACAUCCAGGGCUGCACACGUGCUACAAUGGCCGGUACAGAGGGUCGCCAAGCCGCAAGGCGGAGCCAAUCCCACAGAGCCGGCCUCAGUUCAGAUCGGGGUCUGCAACCCGACCCCGUGAAGUCGGAUUUGCUAGUAACGGCGUAUCAGCUACGACGCCGUGAACGCGUUCCCGGGCCUUGUACACACCGCCCGU